Molecule: non-coding RNA, 25 nt
Filed under: Mus musculus (house mouse)
Lineage: Eukaryota; Metazoa; Chordata; Mammalia; Rodentia; Muridae
Source: RNAcentral
GAGUUGUCCGAAGUCACAAGUAGGC